This 404-nucleotide ribosomal RNA is filed under the name uncultured bacterium. Its description in RNAcentral is "bacterial SSU rRNA". It matches the Rfam family "Bacterial small subunit ribosomal RNA", at positions 355 to 776 of the family's 1533-position model. The record is from RNAcentral.
UGGGGAAUCUUGCGCAAUGGGCGAAAGCCUGACGCAGCCAUGCCGCGUGAAUGAUGAAGGUCUUAGGAUUGUAAAAUUCUUUCAGCAGGGACGAUAAUGACGGUACCUGCAGAAGAAGCCCCGGCUAACUUCGUGCCAGCAGCCGCGGUAAUACGAAGGGGGCUAGCGUUGCUCGGAAUUACUGGGCGUAAAGGGCGCGUAGGCGGGUCGUUUAGUUAGAGGUGAAAGCCCAGGGCUCAACCCUGGAACUGCCUUUAAUACUGGCGACCUAGAGUAUGACAGAGGUGUGUGGAACUCCGAGUGUAGAGGUGAAAUUCGUAGAUAUUCGGAAGAACACCAGUGGCGAAGGCGACACACUGGGUCAUUACUGACGCUGAGGCGCGAAAGCGUGGGGAGCAAACAGG